RNAcentral lists this unclassified non-coding RNA (3506 nucleotides) under Pectinophora gossypiella (pink bollworm). RNAcentral describes it as "uncharacterized LOC126366094". Lineage: Eukaryota; Metazoa; Arthropoda; Insecta; Lepidoptera; Gelechiidae. The record is from RNAcentral.
UUUUUUUUUUUUUUUUUUUCUUCUGGCUUCCGCGGCUAGCGAUGCGCCAAUGACAAAUCUUGAGUGAUAAAUCGUGAGUUAGUCUUCAAUAAUAAUUAUCUUUUCAUGUUGUUACUGUGCAGUCGUUAAAAACGAGGAAACUUUUCAAUAAUAAAAUAUACCGGAUAGGAACGGAAUUUGGAAAAGGUGAGGAUCAGGAGAGGAAUAAUAAUAAAAUAAUAAUAAAAAGAGGAAGUUAAAUUUUAAUAUCAUUAGUAUUAAUAAACAUACUUAAUAAACGAUAGACUGAAGGAUUAUUUGAAGAUAAAAGGAUCUGGAUAGAAGUAGGAAAAGGAAUGUGUAAAUGUGUAAGUCCCUGAAAAAGUUGAGCAUUAUCAUAUUUAGGACAAUUCAGGAAGAUGUGAUCCACAUCCUCCACCUCACCACACUCACAUAAAGCACUGUCCACUAUAUGAAAUUUAGCUAGAUGAGCAGACGUACAAACGUGACCUAAUCUCAUACGAGUCAGGAUGCACGAUGCCGUCUUGCCCAACAGCAACCGCGAGAACCAGGGUUUUGCAGGAAUUUCACGUUGGAUAGAUGCGAAAUAUUUUCCUUUUGUUUGAGAACUGACAGACCACACUUCCCUCCACGAAUCACGUAGAUACACUCUGGGUAGAGCAAGAAGGUCAUGAGGGUAGAUUUUAUAGUAAGCCAUAUCUCCACAAUCAAUGGCGUCAUUAGCAAGCCUAUCAGCCUGUUCGUUUCCACGGAUACCCCUAUGUCCCGGAAUCCAGGCAAAAAUAAUCGAAAAUCCCUUUGCAGCACACUGAACAAUCAUGUUUCUGGUUUCUAUUAUCAAUGGACUAAUAAGUUUUGUUUUAAAUAAAAAUUUAGAUAGAGAUUGUAGAGCGCUCAUUGAGUCUGAAAAGAUUAUAGUUUUCCUAAGUUUUGCUAAAAGUACAUACUCAACCGCUUUAUACAGACCAAAAACUUCACCAGUAAAAACAGAACUCUCAGGAGGUAAUUUAAUCUUUUGAACUAUAUCGUAUUGUGAGUGAUAUAUGCCAACACCUACUUUAUUAUCUGUGGAUCGUUUGGACGCAUCACUAAAAACAUGAUGCCAACUGUCAGUGCUAUUGUCAAAUUCCGUGUCUAGAACGAAAUUGAAAACAUUGGAUGCCUCAAAAGUUUGUUUAGUUAUACCCAAGUUUAAACGAACAUCAGGUUUAUAAACAAGGGCUUCAUAGUUUGAGGUGUAAAGAGGGAAACAUAUUGAGUUAUGAAUUGGCGUAUCAAUUGACAGUAAUUUUUGAUAACUAUUAAUUAAACAAGGAGUGCAUUUAUGAGUCCAGUAACUUGAGGAGUUGACUUCUUCAGAGAGGAUUUUUAGCUUGGUUAAAAGUGGGUGGUCACCUAGUUGUAAACAACGGUAUAAAUAACUAUCUGAAAGAAACUGCCGCCUCAGUUGUAAAGGGGGUUCAACACACUCGACUUGCAUUGCAUUAAUAGGGCUAGUCUUCAUUGCGCCCAGAACAAUCCUUAAAGCUACCGAUUGUAUUUUAUCUAGUUUAUUUAAAGCAGCAGCACUACAUGGUUCCAGCAAAAAAGAUCCAUAAUCAAUCACACUCCUGAUUAGUGCAUUAUAAAUGAUUCUCAGAGAAGUAGGAUGAGCGCCCCACCAUACACCUCUGAGGCAUUUAAUAAUAUUAAGAUUCCGUUCACAUUUAGCCUCAAUAUAAUUGCAAUGUGGGAUACCAGGGGAGAUCUCAUACGAGAAAAAAGCACUACAUUGCUUUUGGAAACGGAUAAUUCUAAGCCAUUAUCAUUCAGCCAACCCUUCAAUAUACCAAGAGAUGUUGUUUUUUAUCAGCAGCACUUCUACAAUUCCACUGUAGGAGUACCUGAUCCAUUAUUGGGAUUGAUAGACACAGUGUUUUCAAUUAGUUGGGCAACGUGGGACGGUAUAGAAUUGAGCAGAACCAUUUGGUGAAGAUAGAGGUAUAUCAUAAUCUUUUAUUAGAGAUGCAUGUGCAGCCCGGUCAUACCCAGCCGAAGGCGUAGGAGGAGCACGAGGCUUAAGGAAAACUGUUUUUUUAUAUGAGCUGGAAGAUGGGGACAAUCGAGCUGCUGGGUUAGCAGCCUCAUCUUGAGAUUGUUUAUGUUGCGAAGUUCUAAGAACGUCAGCAAAAGAUUUGGAGACAACGGGGUGUAAUUUGGAAGCCUCUAAAUAUGAGAUGCAGUUUUGAGCCAUUGACACUUUGAUAUUUUUUUGUCGGGAAAAUUCAGGACAAGCCUUACUAGUGGCAAAAUGAUAACCAGAACAAAGACAGCAUGAUCCAUCCUCUUGUUCUACUGAACAAGAUUCGGCAGUGUGACCUUGCCCACAUUUAUAACAGCGAGGCUUGGAGCGGCAUUGAGCCUUUGUAUGACCAAAACGGCAGCAGCUGUAACAUUGAAUGGUUGGAUAAAUGUACAAGUCGACAGUCAAUGGAGUAUAGCACAUAAACACACGUUUUGGUAGUACUUGUCCAUCGAAAGUUAAAACAACUGUUUCAGUGUUAGUAAAUUCUGGAGACCCAUUUAUAAUUUUUUUACUUUUAAUUCUCCUAGCUUUAAGAACUUUCCCACAUCCAAUGGGGACACUCACAUUAUCCAAAAUCUCAUCCUCAGGCCAGUCAGCAGGGACACCCCUGACAACACCCAUCCGUGUGAUAAUAAAGGUUGGAAUGAAAGCUCUCAAACUAUGGCUGGCAAGGCAAGGAUUUUCAAUAAAAGCGUUAGCAUCAGAAUAUGUGGAAAAGGCCAUGGAUAGUCUAUUUCUGCCGAUCCGUUUCAAGCUACCGUUCACUAUGUUUUUAAUCAUAUUUUUCUUUAGAACGCUGCCAAACUGAAUGGGAUGCAGUGAAACAGGAUCGUCAGGAGUAGACUGCUCCUUUUGAAUGUGCACCACAUAGGGUGCUAGGUCGGAAGAAACAUAUUUCCUACCAACUUGCUGUUGCUGCUGGGUUUGCUGAUUAGUUACUGUGACUGUUGGUGGUGGAGGUGGAGGAUCAGGUAUUGUUGAUAAAAGAGAAUUGUCUUCGUCAGAAUUGCAAUUGCACUUGUCUACACCCGAAACGUUUUUACUAUUUUUACUUUUGCGCUUUUUGUUGCAAUGUUUGCAAAUCUUUCUCAAGGGUCUUACACGUUUUCUGACUUGAGAGGAGCACCCGUCCUCCGUAUCCAUUGACGAAGUAUCGUCAACAAUAACUUCCAUCCCUACAUGAGGGACACGAUGACGAUCCCGGCCGCCACCGGGGUCGUCGGGGGGAUCAACCCCCAUAGUAAAAAGAAAAACUCACUUACCACUACACAGCAGCAAGUAUUUUAGAAGAAUAUAUAUAAAUAUGAAUUAACAGAUAAAAUAAUACAGAAAUACUCCACUGAACCCACACGAAAUCAAUUAAAUUAAAUUUUCACUAAAAAACACGACCGCCAAUUUCGGAAGUUUCCCGCGCUUUUCUCUGUGAUGUUUGUUUAUUAUA